GGAAGAACCAAAGCCGAAUGACUGCAGAGGGUAACUAGAAGUGGGCAAAAGACGGUUUGAAGAACCAAAGCCGAAUGACUGCAGAGGGUAACUAGAAGUGGGCAAAAGACGGUUUGAAGAA
Non-coding RNA from Coffea arabica (coffee), 121 nucleotides. Lineage: Eukaryota; Viridiplantae; Streptophyta; Magnoliopsida; Gentianales; Rubiaceae. The record is from RefSeq and is a predicted model, not a curated record.